ACCUCGGAUCANGUAGGGAUACCCGCUGAACUUAAGCAUAUCAAUAAGCGGAGGAA
This 56-nucleotide ribosomal RNA is filed under the name Eurotiales sp. C_1_BESC_294aa. RNAcentral's name for it is "partial 28S ribosomal RNA". Lineage: Eukaryota; Fungi; Ascomycota; Eurotiomycetes; Eurotiales. The record is from RNAcentral.